This 703-nucleotide ribosomal RNA is filed under the name uncultured bacterium. Its description in RNAcentral is "bacterial SSU rRNA". It matches the Rfam family "Bacterial small subunit ribosomal RNA", at positions 64 to 744 of the family's 1533-position model. The record is from RNAcentral.
GAACGCGAAAGUCCCGCAAGGGAUUAGUAGAGUGGCAAACGGGUGAGUAACACGUGGGUGACCUGCCUUCGAGCGGGGGAUAACGUCCCGAAAGGGACGCUAAUACCGCAUAACAUCCCGCCUUUUAAGAGGUGGAGAUCAAAGCCGGGGAUUCGCAAGAACCUGGCACUUGAAGAGGGGCCCGCGCCUGAUUAGCUAGUUGGUGGGGUAAUGGCCUACCAAGGCAACGAUCAGUAUCCGGCCUGAGAGGGCGGACGGACACACUGGGACUGAGACACGGCCCAGACUCCUACGGGAGGCAGCAGUGGGGAAUUGUUCGCAAUGGGCGCAAGCCUGACGACGCAACGCCGCGUGGAGGAUGAAGACCUUCGGGUCGUAAACUCCUUUCGAUCGAGACGAAUGUUUUUCGGCUGAAUAAUCCGGAAAAGUGACGGUACCGAGAGAAGAAGCCCCGGCUAACUCUGUGCCAGCAGCCGCGGUAAUACAGGGGGGGCAAGCGUUGUUCGGAAUUACUGGGCGUAAAGGGCUCGUAGGUGGCCAACUAAGUCAGACGUGAAAUCCCUCAGCUUAACUGGGGAACUGCGUCUGAUACUGGAUGGCUUGAGUUUGGGAGAGGGAUGCGGAAUUCCAGGUGUAGCGGUGAAAUGCGUAGAUAUCUGGAGGAACACCGGUGGCGAAGGCGGCAUCCUGAACCAACACUGAC